RNAcentral lists this ribosomal RNA (492 nucleotides) under uncultured bacterium. RNAcentral describes it as "partial 16S ribosomal RNA". It matches the Rfam family "Bacterial small subunit ribosomal RNA", at positions 29 to 507 of the family's 1533-position model. The record is from RNAcentral.
AGUGAACGCUGGCGGUAGGCCUAACACAUGCAAGUCGAACGGCAGCACAGUAAGAGCUUGCUCUUACGGGUGGCGAGUGGCGGACGGGUGAGGAAUACAUCGGAAUCUACUUUUUCGUGGGGGAUAACGUAGGGAAACUUACGCUAAUACCGCAUACGACCUACGGGUGAAAGCAGGGGAUCUUCGGACCUUGCGCGAUUGAAUGAGCCGAUGUCGGAUUAGCUAGUUGGCUGGGUAAAGGCCCACCAAGGCGACGAUCCGUAGCUGGUCUGAGAGGAUGAUCAGCUACACGUGAAGUGAGUCACGUUCAAGACGCCUACGUGAGGGAGCAGUGGGGAAUUGUGGAGGAUGGGCGCAAGCCUGAUCCAGCCAUACCGCGUGGGUGAAGAAGGCAUUCGGAUUGUGAAAACCUUUUGUUGGGGAAGAAAAGCAGCAGGUUAAUACGUCGCUGUGCUGACGGUACCGAAAAAGUAGGCACGGGCUAAGUUCGUG